Molecule: small RNA, 158 nt
Filed under: Mytilus galloprovincialis (Mediterranean mussel)
Lineage: Eukaryota; Metazoa; Mollusca; Bivalvia; Mytilida; Mytilidae
Source: RNAcentral
GGCAAAUAUUUGCUGCAAGUUUGCAGCAAACAUUGCCGCAACCAUUUUACCAUGCAAAUGAAGUUUGCGGCAAGCUUGUUGCAAACAUAAUUAUGCAAAUUAGAUUUGCCGCAAGCUUGCGGCAAUUGUUUGCUGCAAGCUUGCGGCAAUUGUUUGUU